Molecule: ribosomal RNA, 428 nt
Filed under: Bacteroidota bacterium
Lineage: Bacteria; Pseudomonadati; Bacteroidota
Description: Bacteroidetes bacterium partial 16S ribosomal RNA
Rfam family: Bacterial small subunit ribosomal RNA
Source: RNAcentral
UAGGGAAUCUUCGGCAAUGGGGGGAACCCUGACCGAGCAACGCCGCGUGAGUGAAGAAGGUUUUCGGAUCGUAAAGCUCUGUUGUUAAGGAAGAACGAGUGUGAGAAUGGAAAGUUCAUGCUGUGACGGUACUUAACCAGAAAGGGACGGCUAACUACGUGCCAGCAGCCGCGGUAAUACGUAGGUCCCGAGCGUUGUCCGGAUUUAUUGGCGUAAAGCGAGCGCAGGCGGUUAGAUAAGUCUGAAGUUAAAGGCAGUGGCUCAACCAUUGUAGGCUUUGGAAACUGUUUAACUUGAGUGCAGAAGGGGAGAGUGGAAUUCCAGGUGUAGCGGUGAAAUGCGUAGAUAUAUGGAGGAACACCGGUGGCGAAAGCGGCUCUCUGGUCUGUAACUGACGCUGAGGCUCGAAAGCGUGGGGAGCGAACAGG